CACCGGUAUUACAUAUAGUGCU
Molecule: microRNA, 22 nt
Filed under: Panagrellus redivivus
Lineage: Eukaryota; Metazoa; Nematoda; Chromadorea; Rhabditida; Panagrolaimidae
Description: prd-miR-7968-3p
Source: miRBase by way of RNAcentral